Molecule: long non-coding RNA, 534 nt
Filed under: Nicotiana benthamiana
Lineage: Eukaryota; Viridiplantae; Streptophyta; Magnoliopsida; Solanales; Solanaceae
Description: long non-coding RNA (NBEN_LNC004336)
Source: RNAcentral
AUUGAAAGUACCGAGCUCUACGUUUGAAACUUCAACACAGUCAUUCCUUAGUAGCUCGUUGCUACAACUUCUAUUUAGCUCGUUCCGUGCUUACUCACUUCACUCGCUCUCGUUCAGUAGCGGUUCUUCAUUCUUUAGAUAGCCGCGUGAGAGCUCUGAAAUUCCAUUCAGUUCAGGUCCUUAGUUCCAGUCGAAUCGCGAGCAAAGCUCGACACUGCUAGCGAGCGUGAGAGCUCUGAAAUUCCAUUCUGUUUAGGUCCUUAGUUCCAGUCGAAUCGCGAGCAAAGCUCGACACUGCUAGCGACGCUCUACGACAGAGCAUAUCCAUUAUUUCCAUUAUAGAGCCAAUCACACUGCUCUCUCUCUUUCCGGCCGGUAUGUAGAAUCGUCGGAGCGAUCAGAGCAAGCGGUUCAAAGAGCUUCCAAAAGAAUGCCUGUCUGAGAGGGUCUCGUCCGGGAAAAGAAAGGUUAAAGAGUCAGUCGGCUUGCCACGCUUGCCUUACCUCAGAGAUGAAGCCGAAGGAAAAAACCUGA